CCGCCGCCGAAACGGAGACCGGAGCCGCGAGCGCCACCAGGGCAGCAACCGCCGCAGCCGCCGCCGCUGGGCUGAGGAGUCGGAGACGCAGGCGGACGAGGUGGCGGCGGCGGCGGAGCGGGAGCGGGGACCGGGAGCGGGCAGAGCGCGGCGGCGCGGGUGUAUUCUAGAGAACAAGUCUUCAAACACCUUUGCCGUAUUGACUCUGAGCUGUCAGGGGACUCAGGCUUAUGAGGAGGUACUGUCACAGAAAACAGUGUCUAGUGAAGACGACAAGAAAGAGGGAAAAGGAUCGGAAGAAGAAGCUAAAAUACUGUAGAAAACCAUGAGAUCUAUUAGAUCUUUUGCCAAUGAUGAUCGCCAUGUUAUGGUGAAACAUUCAACAAUUUAUCCGUCUCCGGAGGAACUUGAAGCUGUUCAGAAUAUGGUGUCUACUGUUGAGUGUGCUCUUAAACAUGUCUCGGAUUGGCUGGAUGAAACAAAUAAAGGCACAAAAGCAGAGGGUGAGACAGAAGUGAAGAAGGAUGAGGCUGUAGACUCCUAUUCCAAGGAUCAAGGUGGUCGGACAUUAUGUGGUGUAAUGAGGAUUGGCCUGGUUGCAAAAGGCUUGCUGAUUAAAGAUGAUAUGGACUUGGAGCUGGUUUUAAUGUGCAAAGACAAACCCACAGAGACCCUGUUAAAUACAGUCAAAGAUAAUCUUCCUAUUCAGAUUCAGAAACUCACAGAAGAGAAAUAUCAAGUGGAACAAUGUGUAGAUGAGGCAUCUAUUAUAAUUCGGAAUACAAAAGAACCCACGCUAACUUUGAAGGUGAUACUUACUUCCCCUCUAAUUAGGGACGAAUUGGAGAAGAAGGACGGAGAAAAGGUUGCGAUGAAAGAUCCUCCGGACUUAUUGGACAGGCAGAAAUGCCUGAACGCCUUGGCGUCUCUUCGACAUGCCAAAUGGUUUCAGGCAAGGGCAAAUGGAUUAAAAUCAUGCGUAAUUGUCCUCCGAAUUCUGCGUGAUUUGUGCAACAGAGUCCCCACAUGGGCACCAUUAAAAGGAUGGCCACUAGAGCUUAUAUGUGAAAAGUCUAUAGGUACUUGUAAUAGACCUUUGGGCGCUGGGGAGGCCUUGAGACGAGUAAUGGAGUGUUUGGCAUCUGGAAUUCUACUUCCUGGGGGUCCUGGUCUUCAUGAUCCUUGCGAGAGGGACCCAACAGAUGCUCUGAGCUAUAUGACCAUCCAACAAAAAGAAGAUAUUACCCACAGUGCACAGCAUGCACUCAGACUAUCAGCCUUUGGCCAGAUUUAUAAAGUGCUGGAAAUGGACCCCCUUCCAUCUAGUAAGCCUUUUCAGAAAUAUUCCUGGUCAGUUACUGAUAAAGAAGGUGCUGGGUCUUCAGCUCUGAAGAGGCCAUUUGAAGAUGGAUUAGGGGAUGAUAAAGAUCCCAAUAAGAAGAUGAAACGAAACUUAAGGAAAAUUCUGGAUAGCAAAGCAAUAGACCUUAUGAAUGCACUAAUGAGGCUAAAUCAGAUCAGGCCUGGGCUUCAAUAUAAGCUCUUAUCUCAGUCUGGCCCUGUCCAUGCCCCAGUCUUCACAAUGUCUGUAGAUGUGGAUGGUACAACAUAUGAAGCCUCAGGACCAUCCAAGAAAACAGCAAAACUUCACGUAGCAGUGAAGGUACUGCAGGCAAUGGGAUACCCAACGGGCUUUGAUGCAGAUAUUGAAUGUAUGAGUUCCGAUGAAAAGUCAGAUAAUGAAGGCAAAAAUGAAACAGUGUCUUCAAACUCAAGCAAUAAUACUGGAAAUUCUACAACUGAAACCUCCAGUACCUUAGAGGUAAGAACUCAGGGCCCUAUCCUCACAGCAAGUGGCAAAAAUCCUGUAAUGGAGCUCAAUGAAAAAAGAAGAGGUCUUAAGUAUGAACUCAUCUCGGAGACUGGUGGAAGCCAUGACAAACGCUUUGUAAUGGAGGUAGAAGUAGAUGGACAGAAAUUCAGAGGUGCAGGUCCAAAUAAGAAAGUGGCAAAGGCAAGUGCAGCUUUAGCUGCCCUGGAGAAGCUGUUUUCUGGACCCAAUGCAGCAAAUAAUAAGAAAAAGAAGAUUAUCCCUCAGGCAAAGGGUGUUGUGAAUACAGCUGUGUCCGCAGCAGUCCAAGCUGUUCGGGGCAGAGGAAGAGGAACUCUAACAAGGGGAGCUUUUGUUGGGGCCACAGCUGCUCCUGGCUACAUAGCUCCAGGCUAUGGAACACCAUAUGGUUACAGCACAGCUGCCCCUGCCUAUGGUUAAUACUUUUAAGCAGUUUUCAGCACGUUUAUCUCACUUUAUUCUCGUUCUCCUUGGACCUUCGUAGCCAUAUCACUUGUAUAAAAUAGGCUGAGAUAUAGUGACUGUAAGCUGUGGUCUCAGUAUACAAAGAUUAGAUAGAUGAUUUAUUUCCCACCUGAUCCAACCGUCAUGGAGUUCAUUUAAAAGAUGUGAGGGUUAGGCCGACUAUUUUCAAAAGGAUUUGCUUCUUCGUUACGUGUAUUCAUUCCAUAAAUGCAUUUCAUAUGUGUUAGAUGUUCUGUGCUAAGGUUGUACUUGAUAUAUAGAUAGAUAGAUAGAUAGAUUGAUUAAAAUGAAGUUUAUGUUUUAUAUUUGUCUCUAAGUAGUAGUUUUCUUUUUAUUGCUAACUUUGAAGGUUGCUGGAACAACUUUUUUCCCAUACAGAAUCUGUAUGUACAUUGAAUGUGGCUUCGGCAUCUAUAAAAGGCUGAGUGAGGUCUAGUUGACUAGUACCAAGUACAUUCCAGUCCUGAUCAAACAGCCAAGUGCCCCUUACGGGACAGGUUCUUCUCUAGCAAAACAGGCUCCGCCCAGUGGAAACCUUUUAAGUCGGAGAGUCUCCUUGUUGGUGGAAUUGGGCCUAUUGUAAAUAUCCUAGGUUGGGAGCCAAAUAAUGCAUUAGCAGUGUCAGAAGAUAAUUUACUUAGUUAAUAGUUUAUUUAUAAAUUAGUUAAUAAUAGGGGCCCCCUGACAUCACUGAAAAUGGGCAUCAUUUGGAAAUUCACUCAUUUUAAAUUUCCCUGGCAGUUUUGAGAGCCUGAAACCAACUCUGGUUUAUGUUCAUGGACCUCUAUCCACAUAAGUGCAGUGAAUGAAAUGAAUAACAAAGAGCCCAGUCCUUUAAAACUAGUUUUUAUAGUGUAGCAAAGAACAAAAGUGGUUAAUUUAAACACUGACCACAUUUUUUGAUGACGAGUGAGGGAAAUUUUACUCUUAUAAUCAAUCAUUCAUUAUCAUUUCCCUGUUUCUUGGGUUUCAUUAAUAACUGCACUGGAGGUAAAUCUUCAGUAGUGAGUUACAGGAGUGAACUAAGGAGAUCUGCCCCCUUUCCCCCAACCCCAACAGUUAGAUUUCUAGCAAUCUAGAGCCCUAAAAAUCAGGGACAUUGAGAGCAGUUAAAGCUGAAGACAGCCUGCUCUGUGAGUGGUCUUCCUGCAACUUCCAUUCAGCGUAUGCCAGUGCCUCCCUGGUGGUGCUGGGAUGGGGGUGGUCCCUCUGAAGUCACCCAGAACAAGAAAGGUUCUGUUGCAUUCAGACUCCUACUCUGAAACCAUCUGAGGCCAUGCCAUCCAUUGACCAGAGAUUUCUCAGUGUUACUAGGAGGCCGGGAAGGGAGAUGGGUGGUAAGUGAACCUGCAGAGCCAGGAAGCUGUCUACCACUGAGGUGAGUUCAAUAUUGACGUGUUUCUCUCUAGCAGUUACUUACAGAGCACAGAGCUAGUACUUCUUAUGUAAGUUCCUUCCUUUCCCAAUAGCAUCUUCCAGAAAGUCUGUUUUAAGUCAAGAAUUGAAGUUGACUUAGUUGUAAGAAUAGAUAUCCUUUCCCACAUUAUCAUUUUAGGUAAGAGCUAACAGCUUCCAUUGAUGCUUGAAGCAGUGAUCUUUGGAGAUUUUUUUAAAAUAGCAGCAUAAUGCAAAUUAGGUUAUGUAAGCUUUAUAGCACAGCUAGAAAUAGGGAUUAGAAACCAUGUGGGACUCUGGGCCAGAGUAUAUUUCUCUCCCUCCAGCAAACUCCUGUGGGGCCUAGGAAUUAGAUUCUGAGUUAAUACACAGAGUGCUUUGAAUAGGACCUGGUACAGAGUAAGUGCUCAGUAAAUGCUGACCGUUCUUACUGUGGUUGGCUGAGGUGACAAAAUACGUGCGGGAGGCUGUGCUGUGCCGGCAUGUAGUGGAGAAGCAGGUGCGUGGCCUGCUGGGGGGCGGGGGGAGCGGCGUGGGUUCUUUAGUGUUGACAGGUUUGGGAUACUCCAGGCUUUGGGAGAGGACUCUAGCAACUUCGGGUCAGUUGGGAGGUACAAAGCAAACACUGGAUGAGACCUGGUGUGGGAGGCUGCUGCAGAUCCGUGCUGGACGAAGAUGCUCAUGUUUCUGUGUGGUAGUUAAUCAUCGGGCAGUCUGUUGCCAGGCGUUUGUAAUACUUGCUUUGGGAUUUAGGUGUGCUUGGAACUUCAAAGGGGCUGAGCUUAUCAACCUGCUGAUUCUAAGUUUCCUGCCAGUGCAUUAGUAAGAAAAGAGUGUGUGUUUGAUUACAGCUAGCCCCAGAAUCUGACAUUCAGAGCUCACCAUUUAUUUGGCAGGUAGAACGCAAGUUACUAUAAAUCACAGAAAAGAAAGAGGAGACCGGGUGGCAUGCUUAGAAGGCUGUUGACUUGGAUGCUUCUCUCUUCUAGUUUGCUGCAACACCUUGGGAAAAAAAAAAUCUGUAGUUAACACCACUCGAGGCCUCCCUCUUGCCUGUUAAUCUUAGAAAAAAACAUACCUGUCUAUCCAUCCCUCUCUCUGUCCAUAUACCCAUUUAUCUAUCUGGACACAGUUGGGAAGUUGCU
Orcinus orca (killer whale) is the source of this 4857-nucleotide RNA transcript. It is a transcript of the gene named spermatid perinuclear RNA binding protein, with no coding region annotated. Lineage: Eukaryota; Metazoa; Chordata; Mammalia; Artiodactyla; Delphinidae. The record is from RefSeq and is a predicted model, not a curated record. The transcript is spliced from 19 exons.